UACGAAGGGGGCUAGCGUUGCUCGGAAUCACUGGGCGUAAAGGGUGCGUAGGCGGGUUUUUAAGUCAGAGGUGAAAGCCUGUGGCUCAACCACAGAAUUGCCUUCGAUACUGUAGAGCUUGAGACCGGAAGAGGUAAGUGGAACUGCGAGUGUAGAGGUGAAAUUCGUAGAUAUUCGCAAGAACACCAGUGGCGAAGGCGGCUUACUGGUCCGGUUCUGACGCUGAGGCGCGAAAGCGUGGGGAGCAAACAGG
Molecule: ribosomal RNA, 253 nt
Filed under: uncultured bacterium
Lineage: Bacteria
Description: partial 16S ribosomal RNA
Rfam family: Bacterial small subunit ribosomal RNA
Source: RNAcentral